Molecule: ribosomal RNA, 253 nt
Filed under: uncultured bacterium
Lineage: Bacteria
Description: partial 16S ribosomal RNA
Rfam family: Bacterial small subunit ribosomal RNA
Source: RNAcentral
UACAUGGGGUGCAAACGUUGCUCGGAAUCAUUGGGCGUAAAGAGCGUGUAGGCGGCCAGAUAAGUCCGCUGUGAAAUCUCGAGGCUCAACUUCGAGCUGUCGGUGGAAACUAUCUGGCUAGAGUCCGGAAGAGGAGAAUGGAAUUCCUGGUGUAGCGGUGAAAUGCGCAGAUAUCGGGAGGAACACCUAUGGCGAAGGCAGCUCGCUGGGACGUUACUGACGCUGAGACGCGAAAGCGUGGGGAGCAAACAGG